Molecule: ribosomal RNA, 401 nt
Filed under: uncultured Mogibacterium sp.
Lineage: Bacteria; Bacillati; Bacillota; Clostridia; Peptostreptococcales; Anaerovoracaceae
Description: bacterial SSU rRNA
Rfam family: Bacterial small subunit ribosomal RNA
Source: RNAcentral
UGGGGAAUAUUGCACAAUGGGCGAAAGCCUGAUGCAGCAACGCCGCGUGAGCGAAGAAGGUCUUCGGAUCGUAAAGCUCUGUCCUUGGGGAAGAUAAUGACGGUACCCUUGGAGGAAGCCCCGGCUAACUACGUGCCAGCAGCCGCGGUAAUACGUAGGGGGCAAGCGUUAUCCGGAAUUAUUGGGCGUAAAGAGUGCGUAGGUGGUUAUCUAAGCGUAAGGUUUAAGCGUGCAGCUCAACUGCCAUCUCGCCUUGCGAACUGGACUACUUGGGUGCAGGAGGGGAAAGCGGAAUUCCUAGUGUAGCGGUGAAAUGCGUAGAUAUUAGGAGGAACACCAGCGGCGAAGGCGGCUUUCUGGACUGUAACUGACACUGAGGCACGAAAGCGUGGGGAGCAAAC